GAAUUCAAUUCAAUUGAAUUCUUUCUAUUUUAGACUUUCCAGGUGCACCCUGAGAAGUGAAGAAUUUAUUCCUGCAACUGGUUUUUAGGUGCAUUUGCUUUUAAGAGUCAUUCUGGAAUGUUAAUCAUGUUGCUUCUUAUAUUCAAAGAAACACCAGCUAUUAAAAUUUGACCCCCUAUAAUAUUUAGAUGCUGUGCUAGUUCAAAUGAACUCACCAAUUCUCUGUAGCUGUUAGAUACCAAUAAAAUUUGUUUGAUUUCAAAAACUUAUACUUUGUUAUGAAAAAUCUUGAAAGCAUUGAGAAAGAUGAUUUGUUUAUUGGGGAACUUAAGAUCUGUAACUGGAUAAGCAUUGCUAUGCAUGGGAGAUUACCUUUGUGAGCAAAUAAUUAUGUCUUUGAAUUUUGUCACCAGCAUAUUCUUGAGCCUGGUCUUCUUUGCCUUCUUUCUCGGGGGAGCUUGGGAAGCAAGUUGAACUUUGCUUAGGGAGCAAAAUUUAGUUGUGCUGAGUAUAUGUUAAUCAUGACAACCUAAGUUUUCCUAUUAUGGAUAGAUGUAAAAAGGCACAUCAAAUAAUUUUUAUGGUUAAAAUCAAUCAUAUGAACUUCAGGAUCAUUCUUGAAGUCUUCUUGUUUUGUAUGAUUGUGAAUACGUCUUAAAUUAUAUUCUCAGUGAACAUUGGUUAAUGUUAGGAUGUUUUCA
This 701-nucleotide unclassified non-coding RNA is filed under the name Hevea brasiliensis (rubber tree). The record is from RNAcentral. Lineage: Eukaryota; Viridiplantae; Streptophyta; Magnoliopsida; Malpighiales; Euphorbiaceae.